AUUGAACGCUGGCGGCAUGCCUUACACAUGCAAGUCGAACGGCAGCACGGGAGCAAUCCUGGUGGCGAGUGGCGAACGGGUGAGUAAAGUAUCGGAACGUGCCCAGUCGUGGGGGAUAACGUAGCGAAAGUUACGCUAAUACCGCAUACGAUCUAUGGAUGAAAGCGGGGGAUCGCAAGACCUCGCGCGAUUGGAGCGGCCGAAAUCAGAUUAGGUAGUUGGUGGGGUAAAGGCUCACCAAGCCGACGAUCUGUAGCUGGUCUGAGAGGACGACCAGCCACACUGGGACUGGGACACGGCCCAGACUCCUACGGGAGGCAGCAGUGGGGAAUUUUGGACAAUGGGCGAAAGCCUGAUCCAGCCAUGCCGCGUGCAGGAUGAAGGCCUUCGGGUUGUAAACUGCUUUUGUACGGAACGAAAAGGUUUGGGCUAAUAAGCUGAGCUCAUGACGGUACCGUAAGAAUAAGCACCGGCUAACUACGUGCCAGCCGCCGUAAAAC
Molecule: ribosomal RNA, 500 nt
Filed under: uncultured bacterium
Lineage: Bacteria
Description: partial 16S ribosomal RNA
Rfam family: Bacterial small subunit ribosomal RNA
Source: RNAcentral